AAUAAACGAAUUUCCGAGUUUUUGGACAGAAUUUUUGAUUCUUCAUCUUAUUUGAAUUUUUAAGAUUAAUAUUUUUAUUGUAUUACAUAAUAAAAUAUAAAUAGUAUUUUAUGUGUGACUAUUUUUUUCAAUUUUUUCAUAAAUUUUUUAAAUAAGACGGUAGUCAAACGCUCAACCUAGAAAGCUCAGAAAUGCUUUUUUU
This 202-nucleotide microRNA precursor is filed under the name Oryza brachyantha (malo sina). RNAcentral describes it as "MIR812 microRNA precursor family". It matches the Rfam family "MIR812 microRNA precursor family". Lineage: Eukaryota; Viridiplantae; Streptophyta; Magnoliopsida; Poales; Poaceae. The record is from Rfam by way of RNAcentral.